AAUCUUGCGCAAUGGGCGAAAGCCUGACGCAGCAACGCCGCGUGGGGGACGAAGGCCUUCGGGUUGUAAACCCCUUUCAGCAGGGACGAAAAUGACGGUACCUGCAGAAGAAGCCCCGGCCAACUACGUGCCAGCAGCCGCGGUAAUACGUAGGGGGCGAGCGUUGUCCGGAUUUAUUGGGCGUAAAGAGCUCGUAGGCGGUUUGGCAAGUCGGGUGUGAAAACUCCGGGCUCAACUCGGAGACGCCACUCGAUACUGCCAUGACUCGAGUCCGGUAGGGGAGUGCGGAAUUCCUGGUGUAGCGGUGAAAUGCGCAGAUAUCAGGAGGAACACCGGUGGCGAAGGCGGCUUCCUGGACAACUACUGACGCUGAGACGCGAAAGCGUGGGGAGCAAAC
RNAcentral lists this ribosomal RNA (397 nucleotides) under uncultured bacterium. RNAcentral's name for it is "bacterial SSU rRNA". It matches the Rfam family "Bacterial small subunit ribosomal RNA", at positions 360 to 773 of the family's 1533-position model. The record is from RNAcentral.